This 95-nucleotide small nucleolar RNA is filed under the name Erinaceus europaeus (western European hedgehog). Its description in RNAcentral is "Small nucleolar RNA U3". The stretch from base 1 to 41 matches the Rfam family "Small nucleolar RNA U3", at positions 1 to 41 of the family's 219-position model. The record is from Rfam by way of RNAcentral. Lineage: Eukaryota; Metazoa; Chordata; Mammalia; Eulipotyphla; Erinaceidae.
AAGACUAUACUUUCAGGGAUCAUUUCUAUAGUAUGUUACUAGAAAUGUACUUACCCUAGGACCUUGCAAUUCCUCUCUUUGCAAUAUCUUAAGGA